CCCGCUCACAUUUCAAAUUGGGAGUCCUUUCGUUGGCAGGCACUGCCAUUGUUCCAAGCGCUAAAAUUGGCAGGAACACUCGGUGUGAUCCAAUCGCCCAAUAAACUAAAGCCCAGCCCAUUACUCUGCGAAACAGGACCUGACCAAAGCCCGCUGCGCCCUCGUCGGCGGCCAACCGCCACGCACGGCCGCACUUCACGGUUUCCACGGGACCACGGCCCGUCUCCCUCCUCUCCGACGGUCCGACCCCGACCACUGACGCUCGGCGCGCGCCAUGGAGCCGGACGCCGACGAGGACUACAUGGGCGACCUCUCCCGCUUCCUCCCGCCGAGUCCGUCCUCCUCCCCACCGAAGAACCUCGGGCGCCGGAAGCAGCCACCCACGCAAGCGCAGGCGCAGGCGCAGGCGCGGGCGAAGCGCGGGAAAGGCGUGCCGUGGCAGGAGCGACGGCGGCAGGAGCGCGAGCGAAAGCAGCGGGAGGAGGACGCCCGCACGAUGGCCGGGCUCGCGGAAGCCAUCCCGGAGAGCAACGUAGGGUUCAGGAUGUUGAGGCAGAUGGGGUACGAUCCCAAGUCCCGCGGCGCCGCCGCCGAGCCGGUCGGCAUCGAGAUCCGCCGCUCGCGGGCGGGGCUCGGGGCGGAGGAGCCCGCGUUGGCGCCGGCGACGACGCCUGCGCCGGUGGAGAAGUCACGGGAGGUGGCGGAGCGGGAGCGGAGGCAGCAGGAGGAGAUGGCGGUAGAGCUAAGGGCACGGAAGAGCACGCAGUGGAAGGGCCGGAGGGUGGUUUGGGACUACCGCAAGGCCGUGAGGGCGCUCGCGCAGCUGGAGAACCAGGAGGUGGAGCCACCGGCACCGGAGGGGGAGGAGAAAGAGAAAGGGGCAGAGGAGGAAGAGGAGGUGAUCACUGAAGAGGAUUUGCAGAACAUACUGUCUAAGUUGCGUGGCCAGUACCAGUAUUGCCUUUAUUGUGGAUGCAAGUAUGAAUCACCAGAAGCGCUCGCAAAGGAAUGCCCCGGCCCUGAUGAGGAUGAUCAUUGAUUUGUUGUGUGAAGGUGACAAAGAAUUGUCUUUGAUCCAAACAGGUGGUUUGGUGCUUCUAGACUUCCCAAGUCACUAGGAUGAUUAGGGUAUUGGGACCCUUUCACAUUUCCUUAGGGACAUUUCUGCUGGUGCUGCCUAACCAGCUUGAGAAGCUUGUUGCAGUGAUAAAUAUCUCAACAUGAAAACUGAAUUGUAUUUGUUCUUCGUCAGUCUGGAAAGAUAGGGGUGGGACGGAAAGCCACAAGGAGUCUCUGCAUAUGAUAUGCAGCAAAACUGAAGCGGAGCUACAUCUUCAGAAGUCCCUCAUCAAGGCACCAAGGCACUUCAGAGCCAGAAGAGAAUAGUUGCUGCCGGUGGUGAAUAAGGAAACUGUGAUUUUGACCUGUGAUAAGUGGAUGACACUUUUGUAUCUGCUUUCCAACUGAGUGAGAGAGAGGGGGUUAUAUUUGUGGACAUCUGCUCGAUUUUGUAGUCAGAAAAGUCAAAGUCUAUUUUAUGAAACUUCCACUGUGCAAUGCUGGAAUAGAAUAUCUGUACAUUGCUGUCAGUCUUGUGUGUCGUCUAAGGAUCCAUCAUUGCUGAAGAAAUGCCUGGAAAGGGCCAUGAUCACUGUUGAACAUCACAGAAGGGCAUAAUGAAGCAUCAGUUUUCCAACAGAACAAGGGGUUAUAUUUUUGGACAUCUGCUCGAGUUUGUAGUUGAGACUCGUGAAUGCCCAGCCCUACUUUCUCGAGCAUCUACAGUGUGAUGAUAAAAUCUCUGUACUGUAUGUCGUCUAAGGAUCCAUGAUCACCGAUGAUAAGCCUGGAAUGAUCGCUGUUCAUUGUCGCAGGAGCUACAUAGUCCCAUAUGGCUACAGGCUACCGCAUUUGAGGUCGAUGCAGUGUUUCA
Molecule: RNA transcript, 1933 nt
Organism: Sorghum bicolor (sorghum)
Lineage: Eukaryota; Viridiplantae; Streptophyta; Magnoliopsida; Poales; Poaceae
Gene name: G patch domain-containing protein 11
Exons: 5
Source: RefSeq, a predicted model, not a curated record